RNAcentral lists this transfer RNA (73 nucleotides) under Bavayia robusta. Its description in RNAcentral is "tRNA-Asn". The record is from RNAcentral. Lineage: Eukaryota; Metazoa; Chordata; Lepidosauria; Squamata; Diplodactylidae.
UAGAUUAAAGCCCGUUGGCUUGGGUUUUUAGUUGUUAACUAAAGNUUUACGGGAUCAAGGCCNGUCGAUUUAG